This 445-nucleotide ribosomal RNA is filed under the name uncultured bacterium. RNAcentral describes it as "partial 16S ribosomal RNA". It matches the Rfam family "Bacterial small subunit ribosomal RNA", at positions 354 to 796 of the family's 1533-position model. The record is from RNAcentral.
GUGAGGAAUAUUGGUCAAUGGGCGAGAGCCUGAACCAGCCAAGUCGCGUGAAGGAAGAAGGAUCUAUGGUUCGUAAACUUCUUUUGCAGGGGAAUAAAGUGCAGGACGUGUCCUGUUUUGUAUGUACCCUGAGAAUAAGGAUCGGCUAACUCCGUGCCAGCAGCCGCGGUAAUACGGAGGAUCCGAGCGUUAUCCGGAUUUAUUGGGUUUAAAGGGUGCGUAGGUGGUUUGAUAAGUCAGCGGUGAAAGUUUGCAGCUUAACUGUAAAAAUGCCGUUGAAACUGUCGGACUUGAGUGUAAAUGAGGUAGGCGGAAUGCGUGGUGUAGCGAUGAAAUGCAUAGAUAUCACGCAGAACUCCGAUUGCGAAGGCAGCUUACUAAGCUACAACUGACACUGAAGCACGAAAGCGUGGGGAUCAAACAGGAUUAGAAACCCCGGUAGUCC